Molecule: ribosomal RNA, 253 nt
Filed under: uncultured bacterium
Lineage: Bacteria
Description: partial 16S ribosomal RNA
Rfam family: Bacterial small subunit ribosomal RNA
Source: RNAcentral
UACGUAGGGGGCAAGCGUUGUCCGGAAUCAUUGGGCGUAAAGCGCGUGUAGGCGGCCAGAUAAGUCCGCUGUGAAAUCUCGAGGCUCAACUUCGAGCUGUCGGUGGAAACUGCCUGGCUAGAGUCCGGAAGAGGAGAAUGGAAUUCCUGGUGUAGCGGUGAAAUGCGCAGAUAUCAGGAAGAACACCCGUGGCGAAGGCGGUUCUCUGGGACGGUACUGACGCUGAGACGCGAAAGCGUGGGGAGCGAACAGG